RNAcentral lists this ribosomal RNA (253 nucleotides) under uncultured bacterium. RNAcentral describes it as "partial 16S ribosomal RNA". It matches the Rfam family "Bacterial small subunit ribosomal RNA", at positions 524 to 776 of the family's 1533-position model. The record is from RNAcentral.
UACGUAGGGUGCGAGCGUUGUCCGGAAUUAUUGGGCGUAAAGAGCUCGUAGGCGGUUUGUCACGUCUGCUGUGAAAACCCGAGGCUCAACCUCGGGCCUGCAGUGGGUACGGGCAGACUAGAGUGCGGUAGGGGAGAUUGGAAUUCCUGGUGUAGCGGUGGAAUGCGCAGAUAUCAGGAGGAACACCGGUGGCGAAGGCGGGUCUCUGGGCCAUAACUGACGCUGAGGAGCGAAAGCGUGGGGAGCGAACAGG